UACGGAGGGUGCAAACGUUGCUCGGAAUCAUUGGGCGUAAAGCGCACGUAGGCGGUCGGCUAUGUCGGAUGUGAAAGCCUCGGGCUUAACCCGAGAAGGGCAUCCGAAACUGGCCGGCUUGAGUACGGAAGAGGGUCUCGGAAUUCCCGGUGUAGAGGUGAAAUUCGUAGAUAUCGGGAGGAACACCAGUGGCGAAGGCGGAGACCUGGGCCGAUACUGACGCUGAGGAGCGAAAGCAUGGGGAGCGAACAGG
RNAcentral lists this ribosomal RNA (253 nucleotides) under uncultured bacterium. RNAcentral's name for it is "partial 16S ribosomal RNA". It matches the Rfam family "Bacterial small subunit ribosomal RNA", at positions 524 to 776 of the family's 1533-position model. The record is from RNAcentral.